This 372-nucleotide ribosomal RNA is filed under the name uncultured organism. RNAcentral's name for it is "bacterial SSU rRNA". It matches the Rfam family "Bacterial small subunit ribosomal RNA", at positions 526 to 896 of the family's 1533-position model. The record is from RNAcentral.
CAGAGGUCCCGAGCGUUGUUCGGAUUCACUGGGCGUAAAGGGUGCGUAGGUGGCGAGGUAAGUCGGAUGUGAAAGCUCGGAGCUCAACUCCGAAAUGGCAUUGGAAACUACCUUGCUCGAGGGUUGGAGGGGGGACUGGAAUACUUGGUGUAGCAGUGAAAUGCGUAGAUAUCAAGUGGAACACCAGUGGCGAAGGCGAGUCCCUGGACAACUCCUGACACUGAGGCACGAAAGCUAGGGGAGCAAACAGGAUUAGAUACCCUGGUAGUCCUAGCCGUAAACGGUGCAUGUUUGCUGUAAAAGGAUUCGACCCCUUUUGUGGCGUAGCCAACGCGUUAAACAUGCCGCCUGGGAAGUACGGUCGCAAGAUUA